Molecule: ribosomal RNA, 483 nt
Filed under: uncultured bacterium
Lineage: Bacteria
Description: partial 16S ribosomal RNA
Rfam family: Bacterial small subunit ribosomal RNA
Source: RNAcentral
AUUGAACGCUGGCGGCAGGCCUAACACAUGCAAGUCGAGCGGAUGAAGGGAGCUUGCUCCUGGAUUCAGCGGCGGACGGGUGAGUAAUGCCUAGGAAUCUGCCUGGUAGUGGGGAUAACGUCCGGAAACGGGCGCUAAUACCGCAUACGUCCUUCGGGAGCAAGUGGGGGAUCUUCGGGCCUCACGCUAUCAGAUGAGCCUAGCGCGGAUUAGCUGAUUGGUGGGGUAAAGGCCUACCAAGGCGACGAUCCGUAACUGGUCUGAGAGGAUGAUCAGUCACACUGAGACUGAUAGACGACACAGACUCCUACGGGAGGCAGCAGUGGGGAAUAGUGGACGCUGGGCGGAAGCCUGAUCCAGCCAUGCCGGGUGUGUGAAGAAGGUCUUCGGAUUGUAAAGCACUUUAAGUUGGGAGGAAGGGCAGUAAUUUAAUACCUUGCUGUUUUGACGUUACCAACAGAAUAAGCACCGGCUAACUUCGUG